This 449-nucleotide ribosomal RNA is filed under the name uncultured bacterium. RNAcentral's name for it is "bacterial SSU rRNA". It matches the Rfam family "Bacterial small subunit ribosomal RNA", at positions 30 to 474 of the family's 1533-position model. The record is from RNAcentral.
AUUGAACGCUGGCGGCAUGCCUUACACAUGCAAGUCGAACGGUAACAGGUCUUCGGAUGCUGACGAGUGGCGAACGGGUGAGUAAUACAUCGGAACGUGCCCGAUCGUGGGGGAUAACGCAGCGAAAGCUGUGCUAAUACCGCAUACGAUCUACGGAUGAAAGCAGGGGACCGCAAGGCCUUGCGCGGACGGAGCGGCCGAUGGCAGAUUAGGUAGUUGGUGGGAUAAAAGCUUACCAAGCCGACGAUCUGUAGCUGGUCUGAGAGGACGACCAGCCACACUGGGACUGAGACACGGCCCAGACUCCUACGGGAGGCAGCAGUGGGGAAUUUUGGACAAUGGGGGAAACCCUGAUCCAGCCAUGCCGCGUGCAGGAUGAAGGCCUUCGGGUUGUAAACUGCUUUUGUACGGAACGAAAAGAUCUCUUCUAAUAAAGGGGAUUCAUGACG